RNAcentral lists this long non-coding RNA (223 nucleotides) under Capsicum annuum. RNAcentral describes it as "long non-coding RNA (CANN_LNC005580)". Lineage: Eukaryota; Viridiplantae; Streptophyta; Magnoliopsida; Solanales; Solanaceae. The record is from RNAcentral.
GGUGUUUUUAAGUUGAAGGGGGUACAUGUAACUUUUGAUUGAGAUAAUAGAAUCAUUAUUAACAUAAAGUUGUGUUCGGUAGAGUGUUAAAACUAAGUAGAAAAAUUAUUUUUAUUUAUGAAUAUCCUAUUUACAAAAUUAAAGCUUGUAUGCAAUCAUGCAAUUUAUUUUCGAAUUUUGAUCAAUAAGUAUUUUUUUUUAAGUUAAUGGAGUAAUUUUUUUA